GUGGGGAAUAUUGGACAAUGGGCGCAAGCCUGAUCCAGCCAUGCCGCGUGAGUGAUGAAGGCCUUAGGGUUGUAAAGCUCUUUCAGUGGGGACGAUAAUGACGGUACCCACAGAAGAAGCCCCGGCUAACUUCGUGCCAGCAGCCGCGGUAAUACGAAGGGGGCUAGCGUUGUUCGGAUUUACUGGGCGUAAAGCGCACGUAGGCGGAUCGUUAAGUCGGGGGUGAAAUCCUGGAGCUCAACUCCAGAAAUGCCUUAGAUACUGGCGAUCUUGAGGUCGGAAGAGGUGAGUGGAACUCCUAGUGUAGAGGUGGAAUUCGUAGAUAUUAGGAAGAACACCAGUGGCGAAGGCGGCUCACUGGUCCGGUACUGACGCUGAGGUGCGAAAGCGUGGGGAGCAAACAGGAUUAGAAACCCGUGUAGUCC
Molecule: ribosomal RNA, 425 nt
Filed under: uncultured bacterium
Lineage: Bacteria
Description: partial 16S ribosomal RNA
Rfam family: Bacterial small subunit ribosomal RNA
Source: RNAcentral